RNAcentral lists this unclassified non-coding RNA (263 nucleotides) under Hevea brasiliensis (rubber tree). Lineage: Eukaryota; Viridiplantae; Streptophyta; Magnoliopsida; Malpighiales; Euphorbiaceae. The record is from RNAcentral.
CGAAAAUGGGACAAGCUCAAAGGAUCACAAAUGAUGAAUGAGAACAAUAUUGCAUCUAAGAAAUUUGCAACAUCUCCAACCCACAGGGCAAAUUCUUUUAAUGAUCAAUCGGCCUCUUCAUCAUUGUAAAUCAUGAGCUUGACCCCACAUUACCUUAGGUAAAGAUAUAUCCAUCAAAAUGCUUGACCAACAGUAAUUAAUUCACCAUAGCCCUUGAUGAACUACUUGUAUCCUACUUCUAACAUCAGAUGGCGAUAGCUGCG